UCGCUCCAGCAGCAAAUGCACUAAAAUUGAAACGAUACAGAGAAGACUACCACAGCCCCUGCCCAAAGAUGACACACAAAUUCCUGAAGCAUUCCAUAUUUUA
This is a small nuclear RNA of Phyllostomus discolor (pale spear-nosed bat), 103 nucleotides long. NCBI's taxonomy places the organism in Eukaryota, Metazoa, Chordata, Mammalia, Chiroptera, Phyllostomidae. The record is from RefSeq and is a predicted model, not a curated record.